Molecule: long non-coding RNA, 712 nt
Organism: Cucurbita moschata (crookneck pumpkin)
Lineage: Eukaryota; Viridiplantae; Streptophyta; Magnoliopsida; Cucurbitales; Cucurbitaceae
Exons: 5
Source: RefSeq, a predicted model, not a curated record
GAGGGAGAGAGUAAGGAGAAAGGAGAAGAAGUUAGGGUUUGAGAGAGAGGAAGAGCAGAGAAGACAAAAUGUAGUUGGAGAUCGAAUCCAAGGCAAGAAACUUCGAAGCAAUAGUUCUCUCGGUACUGGAAAAGGAGUUUGGGGGGUGGAUCCACUCAUUCCGGCAAGAAAAUCCAAGAACGAACAAAGUUUCUUGAAGUUUUUGGACAAAAAUCGGAGUUUCAAGAAAAACGCGAUUUUCGGAGAGAGGAGGCAUUGCCGCCAUGUGUCGACCGACAUACGGAAGAGCGCGACAGAACCGACGAGCGACACGUGGUGACUGUAUGCUGGAGAAGCGCAUCAGGCGUGCGGAACCGAGGCAGCCUGAGUCCGAACCAUGCAAACCGAACCGAUCUAGCCGCUGGCCCACGACUGCGUGGGAAGUCGCGCGUGGACACGCGCGCGUAAUACACCUCCAGAGCGCGUCAGCGUGCGACCUAUAAAGGAAAUUCCAUAAUUUUUGGAACCUUUUCCGGCAAAUAAUUCAAGCUUGGGAAGGCACGCGUCAACUAUGUACCAGUCGAUGCAAGGAGGUGUUCGAGAGCUGCACUGUCACAGAGAGGUGUCGUUCCGGAGCGUCAGUCCCUUGUCGGUCUUUUAGAGUCUUUUGUAUUUCAUUUUAUAUUUGUAAUUACUUUUGUAAUAAUUUGAAACAAAUCUUUUCCCUAUUUCG